AGCCCUAGCAUUCGUUCAGUGCAGCCCUCUCUCUCUCUCUGCCUCUGUAAAAUCUAAAAGAGAAGAAAGCUUCUCAAAAACCCUAGUUGCUUCUUUACUAUUGGUGAUUCCACCCAUCCCCUAGCUAGGAACUGUAACAGCGGAACAACCAAGACUGCUCGAUCCUUGGCCGCAUCAGUCGAAUCGAGAGGGGGUACAGGUACGCCAGUGCUUUUCUUUGGCUAUCCCAGCUAUCGAGCUGGACUAAUUGACACUGCUUCACUCCCUGGUCUUUCUUUCUCUCCGAAGGCUUCAACGAGAAAAGAGGGGUUAACCUUGGCCCGGAGAAAGUCAGGCUAGCAACGCCUAAAUAAGAUGCCAUCUCUCUCCCCGUCUCUGUAAUUCAGCCGUAGCGGCAUCCCCACUUCUCAAGUUCAGAUUUCUACUAUUCUUCUAACUCUCAACUUAUUUCCUUCAUGGCCUCCCUUCAGGUUGGAUUCCACCAAAGGAUCAUAUAUCAAGGACUGGGCUAAAUGGGAGAAUCAAUUACGAGAGGUUCUAUUUGGCAAUGCUUAAUAUCUUAAUUCUAUAUAGGUUCCGUUUGAGUUUGCUGUUAAACAAGUGUUGGAACAACGAAGAACUAUUGCAAAGGUGGUUAUUUAGUGACAAGUGCUGAGAAAAGGAAAUUGGGGACCAUUGUUUUUGCUGCUGUCAGCCUUUCUGUCAGUGAAAUCCAAAGUCUUCUCAAUAAGGUGGACGUUGACAAGUUACGUGCAAUUAUUGCUUCAAAUUUGCUUUUAGAUGACAAUAACAAAAUGAAGAAUUUUGUAAAGAACGAAGCACUUUAUACAUGUGGUUAAGCACGUUGAUUUCAACCAACAAGGUACCAUUUACCUCAAGUAACCUCACUAUCUCCAUCUUAAUCCAUCAAGGCGUAUAAGAUUUACAGAGAUAAAAUGGUUAUUUGUUCCAACUACACAGAGACAGAAAGAAUGCAUAUCCAUCAAAUACACAAACAAGAGGACUCUCACUAGGACCACACAAAGGAUAAGGGCAACAAAUUGGUUUACCACAGAACAAGGAAAUACAUACCUACAUUUGCCCAAUUGAAAGCUAGAGGAAGUGGGAUAGGAGGAUGGUUGAAUUUUCUAAAAAGUACUUGAAAUGAUGUGGGAUAUGGGACAUUUGUAAUGUUAAAUAGUGUCAAUUUUUUUUGCAUAUAUUUUGCAAUCUGUUGGUGUUAGCUAUUUUUUAAGUUUUAAAGAAGAGUAGCUUUGCAACUUUUGAUUGUGGAUUAGGUUGGUAUGUUUUUGCAACUAUUGUAUGGCUUAUUAUACUGGUAUCUACCUUAGAUAGAAUCAAAUGAAGUUGUUCUUUUG
This is a long non-coding RNA of Cornus florida, 1358 nucleotides long. RefSeq lists it as uncharacterized. NCBI's taxonomy places the organism in Eukaryota, Viridiplantae, Streptophyta, Magnoliopsida, Cornales, Cornaceae. The record is from RefSeq and is a predicted model, not a curated record. The transcript has 6 exons.